UACGGAGGUGGCAAGCGUUGCUCGGAAUCACUGGGCGUAAAGGGCGCGUAGGCGGUCAGCACAAGUCAGUUGUGAAAUCUCCGGGCUUAACUCGGAAAGGUCAACUGAUACUGUGCGACUAGAGUGCAGAAGGGGCAACUGGAAUUCUCGGUGUAGCGGUGAAAUGCGUAGAUAUCGAGAGGAACACCUGCGGCGAAGGCGGGUUGCUGGGCUGACACUGACGCUGAUGCGCGAAAGCCAGGGGAGCGAACGGG
RNAcentral lists this ribosomal RNA (254 nucleotides) under uncultured bacterium. RNAcentral describes it as "partial 16S ribosomal RNA". It matches the Rfam family "Bacterial small subunit ribosomal RNA", at positions 524 to 776 of the family's 1533-position model. The record is from RNAcentral.